CGCGUAGGUGGCCUUCUUAGUCAGACGUGAAAUCCCCAGGCUUAACCUGGGAACUGCGUCUGAUACUGGAAGGCUUGAGUUCGGGAGAGGAAUGUGGAAUUCCAGGUGUAGCGGUGAAAUGCGUAGAUAUCUGGAGGAACACCGGUGGCGAAGGCGGCAUUCUGGACCGAAACUGACGCUGAGGCGCGAAAGCCAGGGGAGCAAACGGGAUUAGAUACCCCGGUAGUCCUGGCCCUAAACGAUGAGUGCUUGGUGUGGCGGGUAUCGAUCCCUGCCGUGCCGAAGCUAACGCAUUAAGCACUCCGCCUGGGGAGUACGGUCGCAAGGCUGAA
Molecule: ribosomal RNA, 332 nt
Filed under: uncultured Acidobacteriota bacterium
Lineage: Bacteria; Pseudomonadati; Acidobacteriota
Description: bacterial SSU rRNA
Rfam family: Bacterial small subunit ribosomal RNA
Source: RNAcentral